Molecule: ribosomal RNA, 303 nt
Filed under: Triticum aestivum (bread wheat)
Lineage: Eukaryota; Viridiplantae; Streptophyta; Magnoliopsida; Poales; Poaceae
Description: partial small subunit ribosomal RNA
Source: RNAcentral
AUGGAUGAGAAAUACAGAGCACUCUUUGAUGCAAUCAGCAAGAAGGCUGGAAACUCAAGACCAGAGACUGAAGCCAAGGAAGAGAUUCACCCAUUGCAAAUGCCACAUGUGAAGCUAGAGAGUGUGGAAAAUUAUUCCAGUUGGGCAGAGCAUGCCGAGACCAUCCUGAUCUCGAGGAACCUUGAGGGGUAUAUACUGGGAACAACGGAGAAGCCUAUUAAGGAAAAUUCGAAAGAGGCCCAAAAGUGGAAAGCAACAAAUGCAUUGGUGAGAGCUUGGCUUUUAAGCUCAAUAUCAUCUUAG